Oncorhynchus tshawytscha (Chinook salmon) is the source of this 551-nucleotide long non-coding RNA. Lineage: Eukaryota; Metazoa; Chordata; Actinopteri; Salmoniformes; Salmonidae. The record is from Ensembl.
UAGUAAUGAGACUAUAUACAGGGGGUACAGGUUAGUAAUGAGACUAUAUACAGGGGGUACCGGUACCGAGUCAAUGUGUGGGGUUACAGGUUAGUAAUGAGACUAUAUACAGGGGGUACCGGUACCGAGUCAAUGUGCGGGGCUACAGGUUAGUAAUGAGGCUAUAUACAGGGGUACAGGUUAGUAAUGAGGCUAUAUACAGGGGGUACCGGUUAGUAAUGAGACUAUAUACAGGGGUACAGGUUAGUAAUGAGACUAUAUACAGGGGGUACCGGUACCGAGUCAGUGUGCAGGGCUAUAGGUUAGUAAUGAGACUAUAUACAGGGGUACAGGUUAGUAAUGAGACUAUAUACAGGGGGUACAGGUUAGUAAUGAGACUAUAUACAGGGGUACAGGUUAGUAAUGAGACUAUAUACAGGGGGUACAGGUUAGUAAUGAGACUAUAUACAGGGGGUACAGGUUAGUAAUGAGGCUAUAUACAGGGGGUACAGGUUAGUAAUGAGGUUAUAUACAGGGGGUACAGGUUAGUAAUGAGACUAUAUACACGGGGU